UCCGGAAUGGUGUAAUGGUUAGCAUUUCUGCCUCUCAACUGUCUCACAACAGUGGCGUUCGCAGGAGAUCGGGGUUCAAUUCCCCGUUCCGGAA
Molecule: non-coding RNA, 94 nt
Organism: Cadophora malorum
Lineage: Eukaryota; Fungi; Ascomycota; Leotiomycetes; Helotiales; Ploettnerulaceae
Source: the annotation of a GenBank genome assembly